GUUGGGGUCUCCACCUUACUCAAACAUGGCUUUCUGGGGAACUGAAGUGAAGCCUGGAAAGCCCUUUACUCAAAAAUUUGAUGACUUCAAAGGAAGACUUCAUGUUUCACUGGCAACAUUGGGGUUUGGUUCAGCAACAAAGAAGAGCGUUCUUCAGUGUAACGUGGGGAAUAAGAGUCCUGUCUAUCUAUGCUCAUUGUUUCCUGAGAAGACUGAGUGUUUGCAACUAAAUUUGGAAUACGAAGAGGCCGAUGAAGUUAU
This 261-nucleotide unclassified non-coding RNA is filed under the name Hevea brasiliensis (rubber tree). The record is from RNAcentral. Lineage: Eukaryota; Viridiplantae; Streptophyta; Magnoliopsida; Malpighiales; Euphorbiaceae.